AGUGAACGCUGGCGGCAGGCCUAAUACAUGCAAGUCGAACGGCAGCACAGCAGAGCUUGCUCUGUGGGUGGCGAGUGGCGGACGGGUGAGGAAUACAUGGGAAUCUGCCCAGUCGUGGGGAUAACGUAGGGAAACUUACGCUAAUACCGCAUGCGCCCUUCGGGGGAAAGCCGGGGACCUUCGGGCCUGGCGCGAUUGGAUGAGCCCAUGUCGGAUUAGCUAGUUGGCGGGUAAUGGCCCGCCAAGGCGACGAUCUGCAGCUGGUCUGAGAGGAUGAUCAGCCACACUGGAACUGAGACACGGUCCAGACUCCUACGGGAGGCAGCAGUAGGGAAUAUUGGACAAUGGGCGCAAGCCUGAUCCAGCCAUGCCGCGUGAGUGAAGAAGGCCCUCGGGUUGUAAAGCUCUUUGUCCGGAAAGAAAGCGCCGGGUUAAUACCCUGGUGUCCUGACGGUACCGGAAGAAUAAGCACCGGCUAACUUCGUGCCAGCAGCC
Molecule: ribosomal RNA, 495 nt
Filed under: uncultured bacterium
Lineage: Bacteria
Description: bacterial SSU rRNA
Rfam family: Bacterial small subunit ribosomal RNA
Source: RNAcentral